GUAUUGAUAGCUAAGUAAGGUUCAAAGCAGCCGCUUGCUAAGCGGCGGGGGCAUAUUAAGCCCCCCCACAGGUUCAAAUCCUGUUCAAUACA
RNAcentral lists this transfer RNA (92 nucleotides) under Placozoan sp. BZ10101. RNAcentral describes it as "tRNA-Ser". It matches the Rfam family "tRNA". From Rfam's summary of the family: Transfer RNA (tRNA) molecules are approximately 80 nucleotides in length. Their secondary structure includes four short double-helical elements and three loops (D, anti-codon, and T loops). Further hydrogen bonds mediate the characteristic L-shaped molecular structure. tRNAs have two regions of fundamental functional importance: the anti-codon, which is responsible for specific mRNA codon recognition, and the 3' end, to which the tRNAs corresponding amino acid is attached (by aminoacyl-tRNA synthetases). tRNAs cope with the degeneracy of the genetic code in two manners: having more than one tRNA (with a specific anti-codon) for a particular amino acid; and 'wobble' base-pairing, i.e. permitting non-standard base-pairing at the 3rd anti-codon position. The record is from RNAcentral. Lineage: Eukaryota; Metazoa; Placozoa.